UCCUACGGGGCGCAGCAGUGAGGAAUAUUGGUCAAUGGGCGGGAGCCUGAACCAGCCAAGCCGCGUGAGGGAAGAAGGUACAGCGUAUCGUAAACCUCUUUUGUCAGGGAACAAAGGCGGGGACUAGUCCCCGGAUGAGGGUACCUGAAGAAAAAGCAUCGGCUAACUCCGUGCCAGCAGCCGCGGUAAUACGGAGGGUGCGAGCGUUAAUCGGAAUUACUGGGCGUAAAGCGCUCGUAGGCGGUAUGUCAAGUCAAGGGUGAAAUCCCCGCGCUCAACGUGGGAACUGCCUUUGAAACUGGCAA
This 305-nucleotide ribosomal RNA is filed under the name uncultured bacterium. RNAcentral describes it as "bacterial SSU rRNA". It matches the Rfam family "Bacterial small subunit ribosomal RNA", at positions 337 to 639 of the family's 1533-position model. The record is from RNAcentral.